RNAcentral lists this ribosomal RNA (1008 nucleotides) under uncultured bacterium. Its description in RNAcentral is "bacterial SSU rRNA". It matches the Rfam family "Bacterial small subunit ribosomal RNA", at positions 28 to 1060 of the family's 1533-position model. The record is from RNAcentral.
GAUGAACGCUGGCGGCGUGCUUAACACAUGCAAGUCGAACGUGAGCUCUCCUUCGGGAGAGUGAAAGUGGCAAACGGGUGAGUAACACGUUGGUGACCUGCCCCCAGGCGGGGGAUAACCCUGGGAAACCAGGGCUAAUACCGCGGAUGUCUGAAGCUUUAGAAAAUUCAGACUAAAACUGAGGUGCCUGGGGAGGGGCCUGCGGGCUAUCAGCUAGUUGGUGGGGUAAAGGCCUACCAAGGCGCAGACGGCUAGGGGGCGUGAGAGCGCGACCCCCCACAAGGGAACUGAGACACGGUCCCUACUCCUACGGGAGGCAGCAGUGAGGAAUAUUGCCCAAUGGAGGAAACUCUGAGGCAGCAACGCCGCGUGAACGAUGACGGCCUUCGGGUUGUAAAGUUCUUUUCUCAGGGAAGAUAGUGACGGUACCUGAGGAAUAAGUCCCGGCUAACUACGUGCCAGCAGCCGCGGUAAAACGUAGGGGACAAGCGUUAUCCGGAUUUACUGGGCGUAAAGCGCCCGUAGGCGGCUUGAUAAGUUGGACGUGAAAGCUCCCGGCUUAACUGGGAGAGGCCGUUCAAAACUGUCAAGCUAGAGUGAGGAAGAGGAGAGCGGAAUUCCCGGUGUAGUGGUGGAAUGCGUAGAGAUCGGGAGGAACACCAGUGGCGAAAGCGGCUCUCUGGUCCUAAACUGACGCUGAGGGGCGAAAGCGUGGGGAGCGAACGGGAUUAGAUACCCCGGUAGUCCACGCCGUAAACGAUGGAGACUAGGUGUAGGUGGAUAGAACCCCAUCUGUGCCGAAGCCAACGCGUUAAGUCUCCCGCCUGGGGAGUACGGCCGCAAGGUUAAAACUCAGGAAUUGACGGGGGCCCGCACAAGCAGCGGAGCGUGUGGUUUAAUUCGAUGAUACGCGAAGAACCUUACCUGGGUUUGACAUAGAGGUAGUAGCCGACCGAAAGGAAGACCCUUCGGGGAGCCUCUACAGGUGCUGCAUGGCUGUCGUCAGCU